This 400-nucleotide ribosomal RNA is filed under the name uncultured bacterium. RNAcentral describes it as "bacterial SSU rRNA". It matches the Rfam family "Bacterial small subunit ribosomal RNA", at positions 362 to 776 of the family's 1533-position model. The record is from RNAcentral.
UAUUGGACAAUGGGGGGAACCCUGAUCCAGCGACGCCGCGUGAGUGAAGAAGUAUUUCGGUAUGUAAAGCUCUGUCAGCAGGGAAGAAAGCAAUGACGGUACCUGACCAAGAAGCCCCGGCUAACUACGUGCCAGCAGCCGCGGUAAUACGUAGGGGGCAAGCGCUAUCCGGAAUUACUGGGUGUAAAGGGAGCGUAGACGGCUGUGCAAGUCUGGAGUGAAAGGCGGGGGCCCAACCCCCGGACUGCUCUGGAAACUGUAUGGCUGGAGUGCAGGAGAGGUAAGCGGAAUUCCUAGUGUAGCGGUGAAAUGCGUAGAUAUUAGGAGGAACGCCAGUGGCGAAGGCGGCUUACUGGACUGUAACUGACGUUGAGGCUCGAAAGCGUGGGGAGCAAACAGG